GGAGAAAAUGCUGUCACCCCUGUCACCGAUGAGGACACUCAGGCCCAGAGAAGGCAGGUAAAUUUCAGCUAAGGAAGACUUCUUCCCGAGUCCAAGACUGCAGCGAGUCGUGGGGUUUUCAUCAUGACUUUGCCCUCCCAGCUCUUGGGGGCCAACUUAGAAUGGUCCAUCAGCAUCUGCACCGACCAGCUGUUUCCCGUUCGCACCACCGAGGGACGCGCGCGCGACGGAACUGAGAGGCGCAGAGGGUUAUCGUGAGGCCUGAAGGUACUGCCGGGGUUUCAUCAUCAUGUGCUCAUACGGAAAAGGUCAUCUCCUGUUGCCACCUCCAUCCACCAGACACAGAGAGAAUGGAUUUGAGAUAAACAGAAGCCUUCAGGGAGAAGGCCAGUGGAGUCCUGUUGUCUUCUCAAAAGAUCCACUGCCCUGCCCUUGAUUGGACUCUCAUGCUGUGUCCAUUAUGUUCUGUCUUCCUGUGUGCUUUCUGGGUUAUCAUGAAGCCUGAAGGUACUGCCAGGGUUUCAUCAUCAUGUGCUCAUAUGGAAAAUUUGAGUGGAAACUCCUCUAGGAAAUUAGAACUCUGAUGACCUCUUCAUAUGAUUUGUAUAAUGCUGGAAAAGUGAAAAACCAAUCAGUGCGUUUAAAGCAGGAGCAAGAUCUGUGGUGCAGUAGCGGGGAGCAGCGUGGGAGGCAGAGAGGUCCAGAUGGAGAGUGAGAAGUACCCAGGCGGUCACGGAAGAAGCCCCUCCUUCCAUUCCCCCAGCCCAGCAUCCACGUGCGUCGUCGUCGGUGAAGUCACCUCCACCGCCUGGAAACUCCUCCUGCGUCCUCAAGAAGCAUUCCUCCCCACCCGUCCCGUCUCGAGCUCCUGGGACCUGGGACCACCGCUCCGCUGCGCGGCCGGGACGGGCGGACUCAACGCUUAUCUCCUCCGAGCAGGCUUUACGUCGUGGGUUCCCCCGACCCACCCGGCCGCCCACGGAGAGGAACCUACUCCCCUUCAGGCCACUUCCGGCUCCCUCCCCGCCCACUGCAGCCCGCGGGAGGCCAGAGAGGAAAGACCUGGCUUCUCUACAGUGUCCCAUCCCUGUGACGUCAGGCUCAGCCCCCAGACCCUCCUUCCCCGGGUAGGGGUGGGCAGCCUCUCUAGGACGUGGGCAGGACUUCUCCUCGCGGUGGUCUUAACCCUUCUAUUCCGGGGGCCGCGCUUCUUCGCCUGGACUGAGGAUGGGAGGCAGCGCAUUGGCUUCUGGACGGCGGGAAUCUGAUCCGCCAAAGAACGUGCGUGAGCCUUAGAGAGAGCAGGUUUUCGACAACUCCGUAUCAAAAGAGCAGGGUCUCUUACCUGGAACGCCUUGGUAUUCAAGAAAACGUUUUGUGAAUGGUUGUUUUAGGGAAGCACGGGUUCUACUGUUUUUACUUGGGUAUUGACUACAUUUAAAAUUGUACUUGACACUGCAUGAAAUAGUCUGGGUUCUUCUGGCUCCACACGUUCCCUGCUACCUUCUAGUUCUUUGAGAACCUUCAUCUUCACCUUCCUGUCCAGACCCAAGGGCCGGCUGGAGCUUCGAGCACGGACUAGACCUACUCCAUGGAUCCACUCCAGAAACGUAACCCAGCGCUGAUUUCUGAAUCUUUCCUGACGACCUCUGAAGAGACUUCCUGGGAAGUCACAGCAGCCUCUCAUCCUUCCUUCUCAGGACUGCUAAUGAUGGGCAUCAGUGACCCGAACCCUCAUUCUGGCACCAGCUACUCGGCCCCUCUACCAGAGGGGCUGUUCCAGGAGCGGUACAGAGAUGAGAAAACCCUGCAAGAGAGUCAGUGGGAAAGGUCAGCAUCCCCUCAGAGGAAGAAAACAUUCCUGGGGCACAUGAGACAGAGACACCUCGAUCGCAUGGCACCUUAUUGGGUUGAAAGGGAAGCCAGAAUCUCUUCCUCAGGGGAUAGGGUUCAGGAUAGAUUCCGAUGUGAAUGUCGAUACUGCCAGAGCCGUAGGCCGAAUGUUUCUGGGAUGCCUGUUGAGAGGAAUGGGGCCCCACAUCCUUCCUCCUGGGAAACGCUAGUACAGGGCCUCAGUGGCUUGACCCUCAGCCUAGGUACCAACCGGCCCGGCCUUCUGCCAGAAGGGGUGCUCCAGCAGCAGGAGAGGGAGGAGGAGCUCCAACUGGAGAUGCGGCAGGAAAGUAAAAGAAUGUUUCAGAGGCUCCUAAAACAGUGGUUAAAAGAAAACUGAGACUCUCAUCCUCACAUGACAGAGAUCUGAACGGAUUCAGACACGGAUGUUGGUGUUGCCAGAUCCUGGGCGUGGAUUCCUUUUGGGGACCAAAGAGUAAGCUGUAGUCGGAGGAGUAACAAGACCAGAGUUGUGACUGGAAAUCCCAUCAGCAUGAGCCUUGAUCCGAUCCCAGAAAGGUCCUAAACUUUCCUGCCUGGAAUUUCUGGAUCACUCUGGGGCAUUCUGUGGCAAGGGAGACUGCAUACCAGUGGUCCUUAACUCCUGUAAUAUGGCUCCCAUGAUGCAUGUUGUCGCUUGCACACCCUGGAUCUCUGUCUUUCCUCCCUACUUUGUGUCAAUAAGAUAUAGAGUGUCUCUGUAGUGAGAAUGCCUUGUUGCUGUCCGUGUGCUUGUGUGCCAUUUUACUGACUGCCUCCAAGAAACAGCACUAGGUGUGGUGGAAUGCACAGGUGCUAAACUUAGAUCCAGUUUCAAAGAUCUGAGGCUAAACAAAGUGUGGAAAAGGGGUGUGGAACUAGAACUUGGGGGUUCACCAUUGUAUCAUAUGGUUUGUAUAAGCUAUUACGAGUAUGACAAGCUUAAAUGUAGCUGUUUCCCUGCUCCUUAACAAUGAGUAGUCUUUCCCCUUGAAGGAAUUUCUGACGGAAAUUCUGAAGGAAUUUCUCAUCGUCGAUACCAAAUAAACAUACGCAUAAAAGGAAACUAACUUUAGAAUUCAGGUUUGUUCAUCCAUAUUGUUUUGUUCUUUGUUAGAUCUGAGAUCACUACAUUUAAAUCCCAGAGCAGUAGAUCCGAGUGUAUCAAGAGGAGCUCUAAACUGUGCGCAUUUGGAACAGGGGUGGAGGGAGGGCACCAGAGAACACCUGGUGUUCAAGUCACUCUUUGUGGCCCUGCAGCGAAACCAGCCUUCAGAUCACCCAGACAGAGCAAAUGGAAGAGAGUCCUCCUGCCCACGGAGAGUUGGAAGCAGAGUCUGCUGCUCACAGUAGGAGAAUCCAAUGAUGUGUACCCAGGAAGUGACCAUGCAAUUCUUCUGAACUGAAAAUAAACUCUGCUCUCCGUUAGUCUGUGUCUUCAUGUAGUCCCCGGAGCUGUAUUGUUGCAAAAAUCUGUGAGUCUUCUGCAGACAGAAGUGGCUUGAGAACAGGUACCUUUAUUAGAUUCUGAACUUGUGAUCUCAUCAGAGAGCUUGGGAGCUCAACCGACCCUGCCAGGCUUGUCUCCCAGCUCGAGGGGAGAAGGUAAGUAAAGCAGGGCUUUUCUUUCUUGAAACUCAAAGCCCUGAAUUCAGACUGGUCAUUUGCGGUGUGUUUAGAAGGAGUAACAUGGCAUUUCAUGUUUAUUGGUUGUUUACUAGGUGUCAGACAAUAUUCUACAUAUUUCCAUAGGUCAGCUUAUUUAAUCCUCUCCCACAGACCCAUCAUUUAGCAAGAUUCAAUCCCAAUUUAUGAAGUGGGAAAGCAGAGUACAGAGCAGUUAGGGGACUUGCUCAGGGUCACACAGGCAAUAAGAGGGGGGUGGCACGCAAACCUAGGCCGACUGGAUUCAGAGCCCACGCUCUGAACCAUUCACCGAACCGUAACCUCCUUCAAGGCUGGGGGUGGAGUGCGAAGAGCUGGUGACUUCAGUGGACGAUUCACUGCUGGCAGCACCAAGUCUGGGUAAGAUACAUCAUUGGGUCCUCCCCACGGUGCACUGGGGCAGGGAUAAUAUCCCCACCUGGCAGAGUUCACAGAGGUUGUAAAGUGAUGGCCUCACUCCAGCAGCCACGUCAGGUCAAUCCUGCCACCCACAGUCUAGCCACUCAUGAAGGUUGGCAUUGUCUCUCUACCUCCCCGACUCCAUGCGAGGCUGGCUGUUGGGGCGGGGAAGUGAGGAGGAAUUGCAGAGCCCAUCCCUGCCCUCGGGAGUUGAGCCUUUAAUCAGAGGGAGAUCUGACACCCAUAGAUAUGGUAGACAGCCCGUCAUUGAUCCCCUGUGCGGCUCGGUUGCCAGGAGAUGAGAGGAGUGAGAAGGAUCAUGGUGGGAUGAAGUGGACACUGGGGGCUUGCUGAGGGAGGUCCUAACUGCAGAGUUGCCCAGUGGGCUCCAGGAGGGCGCAUGGAUAUGGGUGGGCGGGUGUAACUGAGGGAGUCAGCGGCACCACCCCUUACCCAUCUCCAAGUCUUUGUCCCCACUCUCGUGUAUGGGGUGUAGGAGGAGAUCUGGGUGUCACACCUGAGACAGCAUACUGUCCCAAGUUACAGACCAGGAGCUGGAAUCCAGUGAUGUCCAGAAAUGUCCAGCAGGUCAAAUUCUAGACCAGAGACCGAGCCACAGGCACAAGGAGGCAAGAAAAUAUUGGGAGAAAGUGGGCUUAAAAUGUAAUGUCCAGAUAGAAAAUCAGAAUGUACCUAUUGCAAGUAAAGAAAUGAAAUUGUUAAAUUAAAAACCUUCCCACAAAGGAAAGCCCUGGGCCAGCUGGGUUUGUUGGUGAAUUCUAUCAAACGUCCAAAGAAGAAAUAACACCCAUCCUUCACAGACUCUUCCAGAAUGGAGAGGAGGAAGGAACAUGUCCUAACUCAUCCUAUGAGAACAAUAUUACCCUGCUACCAAAGCCAGACAUGACGUCACAAGAAAACUAUAGACCAAUAUCCAUCAUGAAUAUCGAUACAUAAAUCCUCCUCAAAAUAUUAGCAAACCCAAUCCAGCAGCAUUUACAAAGGAGUAUGCAACACAACCGAGAUUUAUCCCACGAUUGCAGUACUGGUUUAACAUUCAACUUCAAUUAAGGUAAUACACCACAUUAAUAUAAUAAAGGACAGAAACCAUCCGAUCGUCUUGACAGACAGAGAAAGCAUUUGACAAAAUUCAAGACCCAUUCAUGAUAAAAAAAACGCUCAACCAACUAGAGCUAGAAGGGACCGUCCUCAAUCUGAUGAAGGACACCUACGAGAAACCUACUGCUCCCAUCACGUCGUAUUUAUUAGUGAAAGAAUGGAUGCUUUCUCCUUGAGAUCCAGACCAAGGCAAGGAUGUCUGCUUCCCCUACUGCAAUCCAACAUUGACUGAAGGUUCUAGCCAGUGCCGUCAUGCAAGACAAAGAAAUGAAAACAUGGAGAAAUUAGAAAUGAAUCCUAUGUCCACGCAAAGACUUGUACUCAGAUGUUCCCAGCAGCACUGUUCGUAAUCGCCCAAAAGCAGAAACAAUCUACUGAACGGAUAAACAAAAGGCGGUAUUCCCCUACGGUAGAAUACCACUGAUCCGUAAAAAAAAAAGGGCGAAGUUCUGAUUUCUGCUACAACUGGAAUGAGCCUCCAAAGCAUUAUGCUAUGCGAAAGAACCCAGACACAAAAUGCCACUUAUUGCAUGAGUCGAUUAAUAUGAAAUGCAAAGAAAGGGCAAAUCUACAGAGACAGAAAUUAGAUUAGAGGUGCCAGGGCCUGGAGGUGAUAAUGGGGAUUGACUGCUAAUGGGCACACGGGAUCUUUUUGGGGUGAUGGAAAUGUUCUAAAACUGGAUUGUGGUGAUGGUUGCGUACGUCUGUAAAUUUACUAAAAGUCGCUGCAUUGGACCCUUGAACUGGGUGCAUUUUGUGGUAUGUAAAUUAUACUUCAGCAGAGCUGUUUAGAAAAUGUAAUGCAAAUGUCCACGGAAGUCAUGCAGGAAAAGGUCCGCCGUUGCUUAUAUAGCACUAAGGAACCCCCCUCUCUCGUUCCAUGUUCUGGGUCCUGCCUACACGACCCAUCAUCGCCUGCCUCCUCCGUGUGUACUAGAUGCUCCCGCCAGACAGAGUCACUGUGCACAUCAGGGUAGCAGGUGUGCUGGUGAGUGCACACAUGUGCGCGUGUUUCUCUGUGUGUUCACGCGCAGGCGCCCUUUGGGUGAACACGAUGGUUGACUCGCAAUUCCAUGGCUGGCGGCAGGCUCCCAUCAUCCACCCUGGGUCUGAAAUUACACUUGGGUGUUUUUCUAUUCUUCAUGAAUCCCCUGGACCUGGCUCAGUUUCCCUGGUAACCAACCUCAGCCCUUAGCUUCAACCUCUGGUCACAGCAAGACAUGUAGAGUGGUGAGGGGGGCUUGUCCCCCCAUAGGGCCCCCUGCCCGAGCUCAGCGACCCAGUGGGGAUGCGCAGCAGAGCAGUGACCAAGACAACGGAACUCUAGCCGCCUUUCCACCCCAAGGCCGUUCUCCCUUCCCUCCACCUGCCUGGGGGUCAGGUAAGGAAGGGGACAUUGGGGCAUAAACACACUCCCGAGUCCUUGAAAUUGUUCUAAACAUGGCUGUAAAAUAAAGUAAAUAUGUCAAAAAUACGUCUCGAAAGAGAAGAUACAUAUUAACUUUUUUAAAAAAUUCAGAAAUGACAAACAUGGCUCUAAAGUCCAAAAUUCUAUUUAAAACCACGACAGGUGAAGCACGGUGUGUGCUUAUGCUUCUCAACCUCGGAGGCGCAUCAGAUCUCCCCUGGAGUGGUUUUAAAAGAACAGAUGGUGGCGCACCAUCCCCAGAGAGUCUGAAUUAGUAGGUCUGGAAUGUGGCCCUGGCAUGAGCAUUACUGAGCAAAACUUCUCCUACGAAAGCCUAGAUUGCAGCUGUGGAAACAAAACCUUCCUUAUAGGAGGAAACCUAAAAUCGGAGAUUUGAGACUUCUCUUUACAAGGAAAGCAGGUUUUCAUCAUUACCUGCUGUGCUUGGCAGAUGUCUUAGGAAAGGAAAAAACAUGACAAAGCAAAUGCGUGUUUUUAGACUGACGCUGUACUUGCUGUUGUCCAUGUUCCUGAAAUCAAAAUUUUGAGGUUAAAACCCUGCAUUUGCUAAUGAAACAUUUAAGCUUUUAUUUCUUGUCAAGCCAUUGUGCUUAGUUACUUUAAAAUUUGUAAAACAUUGUAUAGAUAACUCCAUGAGACACGAGUCACAAUAGUUCUUUGAAAAUUACAGAUGACUAGGUUUGUAUCAGUUGAUGUAGAAGG
This is an RNA transcript of Diceros bicornis minor, 7186 nucleotides long. It is a transcript of the gene named family with sequence similarity 156 member A, with no coding region annotated. The transcript is spliced from 8 exons. Lineage: Eukaryota; Metazoa; Chordata; Mammalia; Perissodactyla; Rhinocerotidae. The record is from RefSeq and is a predicted model, not a curated record.